This 497-nucleotide ribosomal RNA is filed under the name uncultured bacterium. RNAcentral's name for it is "partial 16S ribosomal RNA". It matches the Rfam family "Bacterial small subunit ribosomal RNA", at positions 28 to 507 of the family's 1533-position model. The record is from RNAcentral.
GAUGAACGCUGGCGGCGUGCCUAAUACAUGCCAGUCGAGCGAACGGACGAGAAGCUUGCUUCUCUGAUGUUAGCGGCGGACGGGUGAGUAACACGUGGAUAACCUACCUAUAAGACUGGGAUAACUUCGGGAAACCGGAGUUAAUACCGGAUAAUAUUUUGAACCGCAUGGUUCAAAAGUGAAAGACGGUCUUGCUGUCACUUAUAGAUGGAUCCGCGUUGCAUUAGCUAGUUGGUAAGGUAACGGCUUACCAAGGCAACGAUGCAUAGCCGACCUGAGAGGGUGAUCAGCCACACUGGAACUGAGACACGGUCCAGACUCCUACGGGAGGCAGCAGUAGGGAAUCUUGCGCAAUGGGCGAAAGCCUGACGGAGCAACGCCGCGUGAGUGAUGAAGGUCUUCGGAUCGUAAAACUCUGUUAUUAGGGAAGAACAUAUGUGUAAGUAACUGUGCACAUCUUGACGGUACCUAAUCAGAAAGCCACGGCUAACUACGUG